AGUUUCAGGGUAUUGAUUGGGAACGUUGGGAAUCAUCCCUAAGUUGAGGGCAUUGAGUUGAGAACCUUGUGGGUACGGGGAAGAUUUUCUUAAGGGCUUUUCAGGAAUCAGGAGCCCCUAAUAGGAGAGCAGGAAAAGCCC
Molecule: long non-coding RNA, 141 nt
Organism: Malania oleifera
Lineage: Eukaryota; Viridiplantae; Streptophyta; Magnoliopsida; Santalales; Ximeniaceae
Exons: 3
Source: RefSeq, a predicted model, not a curated record